This 112-nucleotide small RNA is filed under the name Sporanaerobacter acetigenes. RNAcentral describes it as "RT-9 RNA". It matches the Rfam family "RT-9 RNA". From Rfam's summary of the family: Firmicutes. Lineage: Bacteria; Bacillati; Bacillota; Tissierellia; Tissierellales; Sporanaerobacteraceae. The record is from RNAcentral.
GAUUGAUGCGACUACGGUUUCAUCAACACGACCCUUAGUUCUUUAGGGAGUAUCAGGACUUCAGGGGAGAAUUAAUCCUUCACUAUGUGAAUGGUGUAAACACAUGAACAAU